AUGACUGCCAAUUAGCCUAGAUGGCAUCCUUCUUCUCAAUAGUGAUGUUCUGUGAGCUAUAUGUUGAAGUUUUGUGAUGAUCAAGGGUUGUAUAGAGGGCUUGUAAUAUGAUGUGCUGAGGAAAUUCUUUCAAAACCUUAUUCCAUUGUUGAGAUAGAUAUGUGAGAACUAGCUACGUACUAGAAGUUAAAAAUUCAGCUCGGAGAACUUAGGGGGAAAAAAAAUCUUCCAUACGUUGGUUUGUUUAAAAGGAUAUUUUCUGAUUUUAGAUCUAUGGUCAUUGUUUGGAAUUAUUAUCAUGCAAUUGGAUGAAUAUCUUUUCAAAAUCUGUGCAGAUGGAUGAAUAAUCCAAAAUAUCCACUAAUUGCUUCGAGAUAUAUGUGGGUGGAUAAUAUUUGGAUCAAUCAUAUAGUUGCUUGAAGAUAUGUGCAUGCAGAUGAAUAUCUAGAUUGCUUUGAGAUUUGUGUAAUGGAUGAGUAAUCCUAAUUGUCCACUAAUCAUUUUAACAUCUAUGCAUGUGAAUGAAUAUCUGGAUCUGGUUGUUUUGAGAUCUGUGCAGACGAAUGAAUAUUUGGAUCAUUCAUAGUUUUUUUGAGAUCUGUACAUGUGGAUGAAUAUCUCGAUCAUUAGUGGUUGCUUUGACAUCUGUGCAAGCAUCAUCCCCUUUUUCCUCUCGAAUCAUCUCUUUCUCCACAUUGCCAACAAUCGGUGGAGAGAACACAUGAUUGCACUGGUGAGCCUCUCGCGGCAGCACUAAUAGCAUCGACGCACCACUUCCUCAUUUAUGGUGAAUUCCUUUCUUCUUCCCAAAGACCAAGGCUCUCCACUUGCCCAAACCCUAAUUUGUC
RNAcentral lists this long non-coding RNA (848 nucleotides) under Phoenix dactylifera (date palm). Its description in RNAcentral is "long non-coding RNA (PDAC_LNC017640)". The record is from RNAcentral. Lineage: Eukaryota; Viridiplantae; Streptophyta; Magnoliopsida; Arecales; Arecaceae.